RNAcentral lists this long non-coding RNA (285 nucleotides) under Lupinus angustifolius (narrow-leaved blue lupine). Its description in RNAcentral is "long non-coding RNA (LANG_LNC001671)". The record is from RNAcentral. Lineage: Eukaryota; Viridiplantae; Streptophyta; Magnoliopsida; Fabales; Fabaceae.
AGAAAUGAGGCUUUAAAAGUUUUUAGAAGAAAGAAGCGUGUGAGUCAACUAGAAAAGGCAAAGGUAACAAAGAGCGUUUCACUUGCCACGAAUGUGGUAAGCCAGGACACAUGAGAUUUCAGUGUCCUACUUACCUCAAGAAAGUUGAUUCGGAGAAGAGCACUCCUUGAGACUUCAAGUCAAAGAAGGCCUACAUUGUCUGGGACGUACUAGAGGAGGAUACAACAUCAAGCACCUCAGAUGAAGAGGAGACCGCCAAGCUAUGCCUAAUGACCAGAACAAAUG